GACGAACGCUGGCGGCGUGCUUAACACAUGCAAGUCGAACGGAAAGGCCUGCUUUCCCUUGUGGAUUGCGGGUACUCGAGUGGCGAACGGGUGAGUAACACGUGAGUGAUCUGCCCCCAACUUGGGUAUAAGCCUGGGAAACUGGGUCUAAUUCCCGAUAGGACUGCAGGGUGGUGCCUGUGGUGGAACACGAUUUUCUAGUGGUUGGGGAUGAGCUCGCGGCCUAUCAGCUCGUUGGUGGGGUAAUGGCCUACCAAGGCGGCGACGGGUAGCCGGCCUGAGAGGGUGGACGGCCACAUUGGGACUGAGAUACGGCCCAGACUCCUACGGGAGGCAGCAGUGGGGAAUAUUGCACAAUGGGCGGAAGCCUGAUGCAGCGACGCAGCGUGGGGGAUGACGGCCUUCGGGUUGUAAACUCCUUUCGACCGCGAGGAAGCCACCUGGUUGGAAGGGUGGUGACGGUAGUGGUAGAAGAAGCACCGGCUAACUACGUG
RNAcentral lists this ribosomal RNA (494 nucleotides) under uncultured bacterium. RNAcentral's name for it is "partial 16S ribosomal RNA". It matches the Rfam family "Bacterial small subunit ribosomal RNA", at positions 28 to 507 of the family's 1533-position model. The record is from RNAcentral.